RNAcentral lists this ribosomal RNA (242 nucleotides) under uncultured bacterium. Its description in RNAcentral is "partial 16S ribosomal RNA". It matches the Rfam family "Bacterial small subunit ribosomal RNA", at positions 523 to 764 of the family's 1533-position model. The record is from RNAcentral.
AUACGGAGGGUGCGAGCGUUAAUCGGAAUUACUGGGCGUAAAGGGUGCGUAGGUGGUUAGAUAAGUUAUCUGUAAAAGCCCAGGGCUCAACCUUGGAAGGCCAGAUAAAACUGUUUAACUCGAGUAUGGGAGAGGGUAGUGGAAUUUCCGGUGUAGCGGUGAAAUGCGUAGAGAUCGGAAGGAACACCAGUGGCGAAGGCGGCUACCUGGCCUGAUACUGACACUGAAGUACGAAAGCGUGG